This 467-nucleotide ribosomal RNA is filed under the name uncultured bacterium. RNAcentral describes it as "partial 16S ribosomal RNA". It matches the Rfam family "Bacterial small subunit ribosomal RNA", at positions 28 to 507 of the family's 1533-position model. The record is from RNAcentral.
GACGAACGCUGGCGGCGUGCUUAACACAUGCAAGUCGAACGAUGACGACCGAGCUUGCUCGGUCUGAUUAGUGGCGAACGGGUGAGUAACACGUGAGCAACCUGCCCUUCACUCUGGGAUAACCUCGGGAAACCGGGGCUAAUACCGGAUAUGAGCUCCUGUCGCAUGGCGGGUGUUGGAAAGUUUUUCGGUGAAGGAUGGGCUCGCGGCCUAUCAGUUUGUUGGUGGGGUAGUGGCUCACCAAGGCGUUGACGGGUAGCCGGCCUGAGAGGGCGACCGGCCACACUGGGACUGAGACACGGCCCAGACUCCUACGGGAGGCAGCAGUGGGGAAUAUUGCACAAUGGGCGAAAGCCUGAUGCAGCGACGCCGCGUGAGGGAUGACGGCCUUCGGGUUGUAAACCUCUUUCAGCAGGGAAGAAGCGAAAGUGACGGUACCUGCAGAAGAAGCGCCGGCUAACUACGUG